GGCCGCGGUAUUAAUAACCGUGCAAAGGUAGCAUAAUCAUUAGUCUUUUAAUUGGAGGCUUGAAUGAAUGGCCGGACAAGAGGAAAACUGUCUUCUUUAAUAAGGAUUGAAUUUAACUUUUAAGUGAGAAGGCUUAAAUAUUUCAGAGGGACGAUAAGACCCUAUAAAACUUUAUAAAAAGUAAAAUUUAAAUUGAAGUAUUAUAAAAAAUUAAGGUUUAUAGUUAUUAUUGAGUUGGGGCAACAAGAGUGUAAUUAUGAAUAAUUGCUUUAAGAAAAAAACAGUGAUAUUUGUGUUAAUUAUAUGAUCCUUAUUUUUUAAGAUUUUAAGAUUAAGUUACUUUAGGGAUAACAGCGUUAUUUUUUUUGAGAGUCCAUAUCGAAAAAAAAGUUUGCGACCUCGAUGUUGAA
RNAcentral lists this ribosomal RNA (410 nucleotides) under Achlidon agrestis. RNAcentral describes it as "partial large subunit ribosomal RNA". It matches the Rfam family "Bacterial large subunit ribosomal RNA", at positions 1929 to 2536 of the family's 2925-position model. Lineage: Eukaryota; Metazoa; Arthropoda; Malacostraca; Decapoda; Pseudothelphusidae. The record is from RNAcentral.